This 254-nucleotide ribosomal RNA is filed under the name uncultured bacterium. RNAcentral describes it as "partial 16S ribosomal RNA". It matches the Rfam family "Bacterial small subunit ribosomal RNA", at positions 524 to 778 of the family's 1533-position model. The record is from RNAcentral.
GACAGAGGGUGCUAGCGUUGUUCGGAAUUACUGGGCGUAAAGCGCACGUAGGCGGACUCUUAAGUCGGUGGUGAAAUCCUGGAGCUCAACUCCAGAACUGCCUUCGAUACUGGGAGUCUCGAGUCCGAGAGAGGUGAGUGGAACUGCGAGUGUAGAGGUGAAAUUCGUAGAUAUUCGCAAGAACACCAGUGGCGAAGGCGGCUCACUGGCUCGGUACUGACGCUGAGGUGCGAAACGUGGGGAGCAAACGGGAU